UACGAAGGGGGCUAGCGUUGCUCGGAAUCACUGGGCGUAAAGGGUGCGUAGGCGGGUCUUUAAGUCAGGGGUGAAAUCCUGGAGCUCAACUCCAGAACUGCCUUUGAUACUGAGGAUCUUGAGUUCGGGAGAGGUGAGUGGAACUGCGAGUGUAGAGGUGAAAUUCGUAGAUAUUCGCAAGAACACCAGUGGCGAAGGCGGCUCACUGGCCCGAUACUGACGCUGAGGCACGAAAGCGUGGGGAGCAAACAGGAUUA
RNAcentral lists this ribosomal RNA (257 nucleotides) under uncultured bacterium. RNAcentral describes it as "partial 16S ribosomal RNA". It matches the Rfam family "Bacterial small subunit ribosomal RNA", at positions 524 to 780 of the family's 1533-position model. The record is from RNAcentral.